RNAcentral lists this ribosomal RNA (245 nucleotides) under uncultured bacterium. RNAcentral's name for it is "partial 16S ribosomal RNA". It matches the Rfam family "Bacterial small subunit ribosomal RNA", at positions 524 to 768 of the family's 1533-position model. The record is from RNAcentral.
UACGAAGGGGGCUAGCGUUGCUCGGAAUGACUGGGCGUAAAGGGCGCGUAGGCGGCUCAUUGAGUCAGACGUGAAAUUCCCGGGCUCAACCUGGGGGCUGCGUUUGAUACCGAUGGGCUGGAGUUCGGAAGAGGGUCGUGGAAUUCCCAGUGUAGAGGUGAAAUUCGUAGAUAUUGGGAAGAACACCGGUGGCGAAGGCGGCGACCUGGUCCGAGACUGACGCUGAGGCGCGAAAGCGUGGGGAG